UACGUAGGGGGCAAGCGUUGUCCGGAAUCAUUGGGCGUAAAGAGCGCGUAGGCGGCCCUGUAAGUCCGCUGUGAAAGUCAAGGGCUCAACCCUUGAAUGCCGGUGGAUACUGCAGGGCUAGAGUCCGGAAGAGGCGAGUGGAAUUCCUGGUGUAGCGGUGAAAUGCGUAGAUAUCGUAAGGAAGACCAGUGGCGAAGGCGAAUCUCUGGACAGUUACUGACACUGAGGCACGAAGGCCAGGGGAGCAAACGGG
This 253-nucleotide ribosomal RNA is filed under the name uncultured bacterium. RNAcentral describes it as "partial 16S ribosomal RNA". It matches the Rfam family "Bacterial small subunit ribosomal RNA", at positions 524 to 776 of the family's 1533-position model. The record is from RNAcentral.